AUUGAACGCUGGCGGCAUGCCUUACACAUGCAAGUCGAACGGCAGCACGGGGCAACCUGGUGGCGAGUGGCGAACGGGUGAGUAAUGCAUCGGAACGUGCCAUUGAGUGGGGGAUAACGUAGCAAAAGUUGCGCUAAUACCGCAUAUUCUGUGAGCAGGAAAGCAGGGGACCGCAAGGCCUUGCGCUCUUUGAGCGGCCGAUGUCAGAUUAGCUAGUUGGUGAGGUAAAGGCUUACCAAGGCGACGAUCUGUAGCGGGUCUGAGAGGAUGAUCCGCCACACUGGAACUGAGACACGGUCCAGACUCCUACGGGAGGCAGCAGUGGGGAAUUUUGGACAAUGGGCGCAAGCCUGAUCCAGCCAUGCCGCGUGAGUGAAGAAGGCCU
RNAcentral lists this ribosomal RNA (385 nucleotides) under uncultured bacterium. RNAcentral describes it as "bacterial SSU rRNA". It matches the Rfam family "Bacterial small subunit ribosomal RNA", at positions 30 to 417 of the family's 1533-position model. The record is from RNAcentral.